Rhea pennata is the source of this 486-nucleotide long non-coding RNA. RefSeq lists it as uncharacterized. The record is from RefSeq and is a predicted model, not a curated record. The transcript is spliced from 3 exons. Lineage: Eukaryota; Metazoa; Chordata; Aves; Rheiformes; Rheidae.
GCUUCAAGACACAGAGGGACAGAAGAAGCAUCACACCAGACAAGGGAGAGAUACUAAUAGUGCUGUAAUAACAGUGACGGAAUCAGCUGACAAUGAAUACAUUGAACAGUGACUCAGACAGAUUUCCUUGGAGCUUUACCUGCAACCAGAGGGUCUUCUUAAAAUAAAGAAUGAUCAUUGCAGAGAGAUUAAGCCAAAUUCAUCCUUUUGGUAUAAUCCACUGAUUUCAGUAGGACUGCUUGUCUGAUUUUCAGGAUCAAGAACUACUCACUGUCAAAGAAAACUUGUUGGGAAAAUUGCGUACAAGUAAACUAACAUCAGAAUGGGAAAAGUGGAAAGAAAGUGGUCUCCUCAGGUCCAGUGUUUUUAAAAGGUACCGCGUGCUUGCAGCAGUUAACAUCUUUAAGGAGCUUUGAGACUGGUCUGGAUCAGACAUCACUUGCUAGUUCUUUACCAUAAUGAGGAAUUACAUUAAAUCAGAGAAGU